UUGUGAUUUGGUUUCUUUGUUAUCGCUAAUAACUAUUUUUCUCAUCUCUUCAUCGUUUUCGAUCUUCCUAUUUCAGUCUAAUUCAUCAUCGAUUCAACCCUAGUAACAAAAAUUCAUUGUCGCUAACUAUACCAAAAAUUCAUUAUCGCAUUGCCGCGAAUCUUUCGUUCGAGCAAAUUUCUUCUCUGUUUACGAAACUGAUUCUUUCUCCGCGAAUCUUGAUUACUGGAACCCUAAAAAAUUUAUUUGAACGGUUCCUCAAUUUUAGGGUUUUAUGUUUCUACAGCUCUUGCAAGGUUCAAUUUGAAAGAGAUAUAUGUAGAAAUGGAAACGAAUUUUAGGGUUUCAUGUUUCCGCGGUCCUCUCAAGUUUAGCAAUGUCGCUCAUAUCAAGGUAAUUGUCAUCACUCUUUCAAUUUUCGAUUCUGUAUUAUCUUUUUAAAUUUUUCUAAUUGAUUUGAGGUUGUUUUUUGUUUGCAACAUUAACAUGCUGUUAAUCUUGUUUAUCCAAGAAGAUGCUAAAUUUGUACUGAAAGCCACUUUAUUGUUGUUAAUCUUGUUUCGGGUCUUCAUUAUUCAAGCCUAAGAUGGCUGGCUAAUUUGUACUGAAAGAAACUGUAUUGUUGCUAAAAGAAUUCUUAAUACAAGUCUUGGGAUAUUCUGUUUGGAUGACCCCAUGAGAUGAAUUUUUUACCAAAAAUGUGGCUUACAAUAUGAAUUCUUUAUUCAUAUAUAAUUAGAUGCUAUACAUGGUGCCUUUGAUGCCAAAUUGAUAUGGUCUGAAUGAAAUUUCAAUGUCAAUGCUUCAAAUGUAGCUGGAGAUGACUCUUGGUGCCAUUGAUGUGAAAUAUUAUAUAUGUCCCUAAAUAUAUGUCUCUCGAUGUCCCUAAUUGAUGCCUAAAUGAAUGCAAUUCGAUCUCCCUAAAUUUAUGGUCUGAAUGAAUGCAAUUCAAUGUUCCUAAAUUGAUGGCUGUGUGCCAUGGUGCCUUUGAUGCAAAAUUGAGUAUAUGUCCCUUGAUGUCCCUAAAUUGAUGGUCUGAAUGGAAUUUCAAUGUGAAUGCUUAAUUGCUUAUUCAUAACUUCAAAUGUAAGUGGAGAUGACCCUUGGUGCCAUUGAUGCAAAAUAGAAUAUAUGUCCCUAAAUUGGAUACAUGUUGCUCCAUGUCCCUAAACUGAAUAUAUGUCUCUCGAUGUCCCUAAUUGAUGCCUAAAUGAAUGCAAUUCGAUGUCCCUAAAUUGAUGGCUGUGUGCCAUGGUGCAUUUGAUGCAAAAUUGAGUACAUGUCCCUUGAUUGAUGGUCUGAAUGAAAUUUCAACGUGAAUGCUUAAUUGCUUAUUCAUAACUUCAAAUGUAAGUGGAGAUGACCCUUGGUGCCAUUGAUGCAAAAUAGAAUAUAUGUCCCUAAAUUGGAUACAUGUUGCUCCAUGUCCCUAAAUUGAAUAUAUGUCUCUCGAUGUCCCUAAUUGAUGCCUAAAUGAAUGCAAUUCGAUGUCCCUAAAUUGAUGGUUGUGUGCCAUGGUGCAUUUGAUGCAAAAUUGAGUAUAUGUCCCUUGAUUGAUGGUCUGAAUGAAAUUUCAACGUGAAUGCUUAAUUGCUUAUUCAUAACUUCAAAUGUAAGUGGAGAUGAUCCUUGGUGCCAUUGAUGCAAAAUAGAAUAUAUGUCCCUAAAUUGGAUACAUGUUGCUCCAUGUCCCUAAAUUGAAUAUAUGUCUCUCGAUGUCCCUAAUUGAUGCCUAAAUGAAUGUAAUUCGAUGUCCCUAAAUUGAUGGCUGUGUGCCAUGGUGCCUUUGAUGCAAAAUUGAGUAUAUGCCCCUUAAUGUCCCUAAAUUGAUGAUCUGAAUGAACGCAAUUCGGUGUCCCUAAAUUGAUGGUCAGAAUGAAUGCAAUUCGAUGUGAAUGCAAUUCGACGUGAAUGCAAUUCAGUGUCCCUAAUAUUGCAAUUCGAUGUCCCUAAAUUGUUGGGCACGACAAAUGUGAAUGUUUUUCCUUCGAUAUGCUGCCGGUUAUAUCUUAUCGAGCAUAGUAUUUUUAAGGAAUUACCUGUUCAUAUAUUUUUUUUGGAAUACUCCUGUUGUUCAUUUUGGUUCACGGCUUCCGUGGUACCAAUUUUUAUGUUGAUGCUGGUCUUAUUAAGUAUACCAGUUCUACCAUUGAGAUACAUCUAUUACUGAGUCUUAAAUUCUUAUUUACAUACUUGAGGUCAUGAAUACCAAUUUAAACUCGACGCUUGCAUAAUCAUAAUAUUUUAUAGGAGAAAGUGGUUGAAUCUCAAGGGCGGGGUCACAUUAUUUCCUGCUUACAGAAUGGCUCUAGAAUUUCAAAGGAAGCAAUUGAUUUGCUAUAUGAGUUACUUCAAGACCGUUCUGGCUGGAAUAGAAGUUUCUGUAAAAGGCUUUCUGAGCAUCCCAACGCAAUUCUUUACCUUGUUACCAUUCUAAAGGAACCUGUCAGUGAAUAAACUGGGAUUGCAGAAAAGAUUUUGAUGGAGCUUUUUGAAAUAGAUGAGGAAAAUGUUUCUUGUGCUGCUAAGUUUGGUUGGUACAAAGUGCUUGUUGAUCGCAUUAUUCAAGGUAGCAAGACAUAUUGUUUUUUAGCUCGGCUUUAUUGUGUUGAGAGUUCAUGGAAUGCGCAUAUUCAAUUAUAUAUAUUGACAAAAAUGAAAUUACAUUAAAUACAGGAUCGGAGUCUUCAAGAAUCUCAAUGGUUAAAGCCAUGAUUACUUUGGAAUUGGAAGAAUCAAACUUGAAACUCCUUGGAGAGAAACGAGUUAUAUAUAUACCUCCUUUGAUAGAAAUGCUAUCUGGAAGCAUUAUCAUUAUCAGGCUUGGUCAAACUAGCAGGAGUUCAUGCCAAUAAGGGAAUUAUUGCUGCAUAUGGAGGUGUCCCUCUUGUUCUAGAUUUAAUGUUCUCUCGCAGGACACGAGCGUUCAUUACAAUUAAAUGCUUUGAAAUCCUUGAGAAGCAUUCAUCUGAUGAUGACGGAUUUAAUUUCUUCAUUGAUGGAGAAGGGAAACAACUUGAGUUAGAUAACAUUAUCACCGAUUUGCUAACUCUAGAGCAGCAGCUUCCUAACUCAGGUCACUACCUUAUAUGCAAAAUUGAGUAUACGUCGCACGAUGUCCCUAAAUUGAUGGUUUGAAUGGAAUUUCAAUGUGAAUGCAUAUUCAUAACUUCAAAUGUAAGUUGAGAUGACCCUUGGUGCCAUUGAAGCAAAAUAAUAUAUAUGUCCCUCGAUGUCCCUAAAUUGAAUAUAUGUCCCUCGAUAUCCCUAAAUUGAUGGUCUGAAUGGAAUUUCAAUGUGAAUGCUUAUUCAUAACUUCAAAUGUAAGUGGAGAUGACCCUUGGUGCCAUUGAUGCGAAAAAGUAUAUUUAUCCCUCGAUGUCCCUAAAUUGAAUAUAUGUUCCUCGAUGUCCCUAAAUUGAAUAGAUGUAUAUGUCCCUCGAUGUCACUAAAUUGAUGAUCUGAAUGAAUGCAAUUCGGUGUCCCUAAAUUGAUGGUCUGAAUGAAUGCAAUUCCACGUGAAUGCUUAGUCGUAACUUCAAAUGUAAGUGAAGACGACCCUUGACGCGAUGACUAUACAUGCUUUUCCAUAAUGGUAAGUUUGGAUGAUGUGAAAAUUGAAUAUAUGUCCCUUGAUGACUCUGAAUUGUUGGCCAAAAUGCAAUUUCAUUAUUAAUGUAGAACAAGAGGGACACCUCCAUAUGCAAAUGGAGGUCGUAACAUAUAAAAAAAUAUUAUGAAAUAUUGCUCAUACUAUUGUCUAUACCAUUGGAUGUGUUCCUAUUCAGUUGACAAAAACUAUUAGAUGGCUAUUUAGUUGCUGACUUGUUUUCUGAAUGUGCAUAACAUCUUUCUAUUUGAGCUUGCCUAAACUAUGUGGAUUCCGAGGUAGUAAACAUAAUUGUUUGAUUGAGACAUGGCUUAACUAUCCCAUAUUUAGGCUAGUUUGCAUCCUAAAGUGUGAAGGUAUUGAGGAGAAAAAAUUCGAGAAGAAUGAGAAGUUCUAGUGGAUGGGUGAUAUGGAAUAUAAGCAAGAGAAGACUCUUGGCUUGCUGAAGGAUAGAAAUUUUAAAAGGUGCAUUCUUCUGAUGCGAACGACUAAAUUAUUGCAAAGUAUUCAAUAUGGGAUUGUUGCUGAUCCAAAUGCAAUGAUGGAUGAUUUGGGUGAAUAGGAGGGGGCAAUGGCUUUUGGAGUGGAAGUGGCCGAGGGAAUUAAUUCAGUAGGUGUAUUAUCAUAUGACUUAAUGAAUGUGUUGCUGGCUAAUGUAGUUUGAGGUUGGGGGUACUAUUGGCAUAUUGAAAUAUUUAGCUGAUCCAACAAAUGCUUAUUCAAUGAAAUUAGCAUUUGAGGUAAUUUCAAAUGAGGGUAUCCAUUGGGAUGCUUGGCGAUCUAUAUGGUUUGUUGUUAUCUCGACUAUUGGAUGAUCUCGCAUCCAAAAGCUGUCUCUUUGCAAGUUGUGACUGUUUUUGAGGUAGUUAAAUUGAAAGUCUGAAGUUGGUUAAGUGCAAUGAAUGUCUGGUUAAGGUAUCAUGUUCCAUCAUGAAAUUAUUGUCUAACAGCUCCUAUUAUGCAGAUUUUGUUGGUUGUUGUUUGUGGUGGUUGAGAUGGGUACUGCUAGAGGUUGCUGUACUGGCAUGUUGUUUGGUUCAGCUCAGUAGUCUUGUUUGUCUAGUUUGAUGCAUAUGUAUGUAGACUUUUUUCUUGCAGCCUUCAAUUUAUAUGUGCAACUUGUUCUGUUUAGCAGAUUAUCGUUUCUCUGAGGUAUCUCUUGUGUGCAACUUGUUCUGUCUUUGGCCUAAUACUUGGAAUCCAUUUUGCUAAAUUUUAGUAUAAUUUUAGCUUAUAAUAAAAACAACGACUAAAGUUGUUUGAUUGCUAAUUUGCUGAAAUUGUUUUGAACAAAAAAAAUAUAUAUAUGGACAUAUAUCAGAUAUACAGAUCUAAAAUGGAAAUGUAAUUGGAACAUAUUCCAAAAACAAAUUGAAAGGGUUGAUUCCCACAUGUCACUGAACACCAAGUCAAGUGGAGGCCGAGGAAAUUGAUUAGGUACAAUACUUGAAUGAGGAAAGUACCUUUGAAACAGAUGAGUCAAAUUUGGCAGAAUCAAUGGUGUUGGAGUUGGAGAGGAAGGAACAAAUAAAUGUUAUGGAGUAAAUCAGUACCGAGGAGAGAGGAGAAGGCCAUGAGGUAAAUUUACUGUAGAGAUGCAGUGUUUGGUUGUGCAGCUUUCAGAAUGAAGGGUCAGAAAGCUAUACUCAAUUUUCCUAAAUUGACUAUAUGCCCCUAGAAUAUAUGUCCCUCUGUGUCUCUAAAUUGAAUAUUGUUCCUCGAUGGCCCUAAAUUGAAUAUAUGUCCCUCAAUAUCCCUAACUUGAAUAUUUGUCCCCCGACGUCCCUAAAUUGAAUAUAUGUCCCUCAAUAUCCCUAACUUGAAUAUUUGUCCCUUGAUGUCCCUAAAUUGAUGGCCUGGGUGAAUGCAAUUCGAUGUCCCUAAAUUGACGGUCUGAAUGAAUGCAAUUCGAUGUGAAUGCUCAGUCAUAACUUGAAAUGUAAGCGGCGAUGACCCUUGACGCGAUGACUAUACUUGCUUUUUCAUAUUGGUAAAUUAGGAUGAUAGUUUUGUGCCUGUGUGACCUUAGAUGUGAAAAUUGAAUAUAUCCAAAUGCAACGGUGGCUGAUUUGGGUGAAUGGAAGGAGGGGCGCCCGUGUGACCUUAGAUGUGAAAAUUGAAUAUAUCCAAAUGCAACAGUGGCUGAUUUGGGUGAAUGGAAGGAGGGGCAUUGGCUUUUGGUGUGGAAGUGGCCGAGGGAAUUAAUUCAGUAGGCGUAUUAUCGUAUGACUUAAUGAAUGUGUUGCUGGCUAAUGUAGUUUUGGAGGUUGAGGGUGCUAUUGACAAAUUGAAGUGGUUAGCUGAUUCGGGAGAUUAUGAGGUAAUUUCAAAUGAGGUUAUUAAUCGGGAUGAUUGGCAAUCUAUGUGGUAUGUUGUUAUCUCAAUCUAUUGGGUGAUCUUGCAUCGAAAAGCUAUUGUUUUGCAAGUUGUGACCAUUUUUAAGUUGGUUUAAAUUGAAAGUCUGUAGUUGGUUAAGUGCAAAGAAUAACUUGUUAAAGUAUCACAUUUCAUCAUGGUUUAUUAAUGUUACAAGUUAAUCGGUUAUUGUCUAAGUUCAUAGGCAUGUGUGGGUUGAAAUUAUUGUCCGACAUGCAGAUUUUAUUGGUUGUUGUUGGUGGUGUUUGGAGAUGGGUACUGCUAGAGUUGGUUUAGCCCGGUAGUCUUGCUCGUCUGGAGUAUUGACAUAGACAGUGGGAAAUCUCUAUACGAAGUGUGGGCUACCUAUUAUUCGUUGGUGGUCCAGUGCACCCCUACUCACUUUGAUGCAUAUGUAUGUACACUUUUUUUGCACCCCUCAAU
Long non-coding RNA from Trifolium pratense (red clover), 6409 nucleotides. RefSeq lists it as uncharacterized. The transcript is spliced from 3 exons. The record is from RefSeq and is a predicted model, not a curated record. NCBI's taxonomy places the organism in Eukaryota, Viridiplantae, Streptophyta, Magnoliopsida, Fabales, Fabaceae.